CGUGUAGGCGGCUUGGUAAGUCGGGUGUGAAAGCCCUCAGCUCAACUGAGGAAGUGCGCCCGAAACUGCUGAGCUUGAGUGCCGGAGAGGAUGGCGGAAUACCCCAAGUAGAGGUGAAAUUCGUAGAUAUGGGGUGGAACACCGGUGGCGAAGGCGGCCAUCUGGACGGUAACUGACGCUGAGACGCGAAAGCGUGGGUAGCAAACA
Molecule: ribosomal RNA, 207 nt
Filed under: uncultured delta proteobacterium
Lineage: Bacteria; Deltaproteobacteria
Description: partial 16S ribosomal RNA
Rfam family: Bacterial small subunit ribosomal RNA
Source: RNAcentral